UUGGCUAUUCAAAUUAUGAUAUGAACAUUUGAAAUAUAAUUUAGAAUAAUCUUUCCUUUGCCUGGAUACUUGAUCACAAAUGCUCAGCAUAAUUUCAAUAGCCAAAUCUCAUAGUGAUAACAUAUUUUUCAGUUGCAAAAUGCAAACUCAAAUCUUUGGUCAGAUACAUCACGAGAAGUCGCUGCAUAUGAGCAAAACAAUCAGGCUGAAGGUUAAUUAUAACUUUUUGCUCUGUUGGAGUCAGUAAUGUUUACUCGUGUAUAGCAGAAGAAAACAGGUGGUCCACAAAGAAAAAAAAAAAACGUAAAAUGCAAUAAACAAUUUCACAUGAGGCAUUCACACUCACUUAUACACGUACAGUACAGUGAACAUGAUUGUGACAGUGAUUUCAUUUGCUUUUUCACUUUCAGUUCCAAAAUACCAAACCAUGAGCAACCAAUUCAUCUUUUCUCUAAACACACAUAGUGAAAAAAGAGCGAUCAAAUCCAUACUGCAGAAUACACACCCUACAACCUAUACAGAUGCACUCUAAUGCCAAAAUAAAAGAAUUAUAACUGAAGGAAGAUUCUGAACAGUGAAUAAGCAGUUAAAUAUCUCAGUAGUUCAACUGCGUUCUGGAAUAUAAUGCUGGCUUCAAACACUGCUCAGAGCAACACUAAAGUCCAGCUAAACUGCUGGACUGCGGAACACGAUUCAUGAUUCAAAUCACAUUACAGCAGAUUAUUUUCUGGGAAAAACAUCUUAAAUACAUUCAAUACAAUACCAUGUGUUUUGUAGCUGGAAUAUUAUCAUAUGUGCUACCAGCAAACAUAUAUUUCAUACAUCAGGCUUUCUGUCUUUAACGCCUGGAUGUAAAGUGCCGCUUCUCUUCAUGUUGUCUCACAUGAGAUUUUUUUACAUUGACCUCUGUCUGCAUAAAAGGGGAGUCGUUGCAUUUUAUGUUAUAUAUAAAUAAAUUCUACCAUCUAUAAAUACUAUAUUUGGUUUAGGCUAGAGCACUUGUGCUCUAUAAAAAAAAAAAAAAAUACCAUUACCACCUCACAUCACUUUUCUUUUAUUUGACUGAUUUAAAAUGACAAAAUAUGGGCUAUCGGUUAAAUUAAAAAACACGAAGUUACUGAGUCCAGUGCCGUUUCCUGCAGUGCCUCCUGGUCCAAACUCUCACCUCAAGACAAAAUAAAAACAGGAAUGAUGCCACAGCAGACAAAGCGUGUGUGUGUGUAUGGGUUCGGGCCGAACCAAGAUGGUCAUUUUUAGACCGCUCAGGUUUCUGAAGCCAGGUGGAUGUGUAAACAGAUGCCCAGUGGACUGAGCUGCUGGGCAAGAAAAAGGCAGUUUGGCUUCAUGUGCCGGGAGGAAGACACAAGACGUACAAGUGGAAUGAUUUAAAACGUCACACGGACACGCUUACAUUCACCAAAAUAGACACAGAUCAACUUACGACACACGCAUGCGCUCACACGGACACGUCUCAAACGUGCUUGUGCGUGUCGCUGAAUAAAACGCAGUUUAAUAAUUAGAAACUCUUUCCUUCUAGAGCUUUGAUAAGUGUUCUAUGUACACAAAUUAACAAUAAAUAUAUGCAACAACCUCUCUCUAUAUUGAAAUAUAUAUUAAAUCUUGAAUAAAGUAUAUAUUUCAAACAUAUUCAUAUAUUUUCCUACAUCUUCAAAUGAAUCAGGAGAUAUCACAGUUUAGUAAUCAAAAACUAAGAACUUUAUCCAUCUUCCUGGCUGCGGUGUCCCUUUUCACACUCUUUCUCUGGUGCAAAAGCACUUUAGCAUAAUGGUCAACGCUUCACAGAAAUUUAAGGUCUCUGUUUUUAGCGCAAAUUGCCCUUUGGCGGAAACUAUUUAAACUUUCUAGUGCAGGAUUAUCAAGGAAACCAGCCCUGAUACUACAGC
Sinocyclocheilus rhinocerous is the source of this 1904-nucleotide long non-coding RNA. RefSeq lists it as uncharacterized. The transcript is spliced from 3 exons. The record is from RefSeq and is a predicted model, not a curated record. Lineage: Eukaryota; Metazoa; Chordata; Actinopteri; Cypriniformes; Cyprinidae.